AUACGGAGGAUGCAAGCGUUAUCCGGAUUUAUUGGGUUUAAAGGGUGCGUAGGCUGUUCGGAAAGUCAGGGGUGAAAGCACGGCGCCUAACGCCGGAACUGCCUUUGAUACUUCCGAGCUGGAAUACGGAUGCCGUGGGAGGAAUGAGUAGUGUAGCGGUGAAAUGCAUAGAUAUUACUCAGAACACCGAUUGCGAAGGCAUCUCACGAAUCCGUCAUUGACGCUGAGGCACGAAAGCGUGGGGAUCAAACAGGAUUAGAUACCCUGGUAGUCCACGCAGUAAACGAUGAUGACUAACCGUCGGCGAUACACAGUCGGUGGCCAAGCGAAAGCGAUAAGUCAUCCACCUGGGGAGUACGUUCGCAAGAAUGAAACUCAAAGGAAUUGACGGG
Molecule: ribosomal RNA, 392 nt
Filed under: uncultured bacterium
Lineage: Bacteria
Description: partial 16S ribosomal RNA
Rfam family: Bacterial small subunit ribosomal RNA
Source: RNAcentral